Molecule: ribosomal RNA, 255 nt
Filed under: uncultured bacterium
Lineage: Bacteria
Description: partial 16S ribosomal RNA
Rfam family: Bacterial small subunit ribosomal RNA
Source: RNAcentral
AGCCAAGUCGUGAGGCGGAGCUAAUCCCUUAAAGCCAUUCUCAGUUCGGAUUGUAGGCUGAAACUCGCCUACAUGAAGCUGGAGUUACUAGUAAUCGCAGAUCAGAAUGCUGCGGUGAAUGCGUUCCCGGGUCUUGUACACACCGCCCGUCACACCACGGAAGUUGGGGGCGCCCGAAGCCACUUAGCUAACCCUUUUGGGAAGCGAGUAUCGAAGGUGAAAUCAAUAACUGGGGUGAAGUCGUAACAAGGUAUC